AAAAACAGAUUUGAUCUUAUCGUUCCUUAAAAAAUUCUGCGUGACAUAUUUUACAAAAAAAACUUAUAUUUUAUUUCGCUCAUAGAAAAGUGAAUUAAAUCUACAAGCUGUGGAAAAACCUGUUGAAAAAGCCUCAAAAAGUGGAUAACUCUUUGGGAUCAAGGUAAAAACUGGGUUUUAAUGCUUAUUUUCUAAGUAUUAAUACUUCAUCAAUAAAUUAUUAAAUAUAGUUUAAUAAUCAAUUAAACUAACUGAAAUAACAAUG
Molecule: small RNA, 265 nt
Filed under: Prochlorococcus marinus str. MIT 9515
Lineage: Bacteria; Bacillati; Cyanobacteriota; Cyanophyceae; Synechococcales; Prochlorococcaceae
Description: Cyanobacterial functional RNA 17
Rfam family: Cyanobacterial functional RNA 17
Source: Rfam by way of RNAcentral